GAUGAAGAACGUAGCGAAAUGCGAUACGUAAUGUGAAUUGCAGAAUUCAGUGAAUCAUCGAAUCUUUGAACGCAUAUUGCGCUCUCUGGUAUUCCGGAGAGCAUGCUUGUUUGAGUAUCAGUAAACACCUCAACUUCCAUAUCUUUUUUGAAAUGGGAGUUGGACUUCAGUGAUCCCAACGCUUUUCCUCACCGAAAAGUGGCGGGUUACUUGAAAUGCAGGUGCAGCUGGACUUUUCUCUGAGCUAUAAGCAUAUCUAUUUAGUCUGCCUAAAAAACAGAUUAUUACCUUUGCUGCAGCUAACAUAAAGGAGAUUAGUUCUUGUGCUGACUGAUGCAGGAUUCACAAAGACAGGCUUCGGCCGACUUUGUAAACUCGAUCUCAAAUCAAGUAAGACUACCCGCUGAACUUAAGCAUAUCAAUAAGCGGAGGA
RNAcentral lists this unclassified non-coding RNA (433 nucleotides) under soil metagenome. RNAcentral describes it as "partial contains 5.8S ribosomal RNA, internal transcribed spacer 2, and large subunit ribosomal RNA". The stretch from base 1 to 120 matches the Rfam family "5.8S ribosomal RNA", at positions 35 to 154 of the family's 154-position model. The record is from RNAcentral.